Molecule: ribosomal RNA, 637 nt
Filed under: Lentilactobacillus buchneri
Lineage: Bacteria; Bacillati; Bacillota; Bacilli; Lactobacillales; Lactobacillaceae
Description: bacterial SSU rRNA
Rfam family: Bacterial small subunit ribosomal RNA
Source: RNAcentral
CCCUUGAAGUAGGGGAUAACACUUGGAAACAGGUGCUAAUACCGUAUAACAACCAAAACCACCUGGUUUUGGUUUAAAAGACGGCUUCGGCUGUCACUUUAGGAUGGACCCGCGGCGUAUUAGCUUGUUGGUAAGGUAACGGCUUACCAAGGCGAUGAUACGUAGCCGACCUGAGAGGGUAAUCGGCCACAUUGGGACUGAGACACGGCCCAAACUCCUACGGGAGGCAGCAGUAGGGAAUCUUCCACAAUGGACGAAAGUCUGAUGGAGCAACGCCGCGUGAGUGAUGAAGGGUUUCGGCUCGUAAAACUCUGUUGUUGGAGAAGAACAGGUGUCAGAGUAACUGUUGACAUCUUGACGGUAUCCAACCAGAAAGCCACGGCUAACUACGUGCCAGCAGCCGCGGUAAUACGUAGGUGGCAAGCGUUGUCCGGAUUUAUUGGGCGUAAAGCGAGCGCAGGCGGUUUUUUAGGUCUGAUGUGAAAGCCUUCGGCUUAACCGGAGAAGUGCAUCGGAAACCGGGAGACUUGAGUGCAGAAGAGGACAGUGGAACUCCAUGUGUAGCGGUGAAAUGCGUAGAUAUAUGGAAGAACACCAGUGGCGAAGGCGGCUGUCUGGUCUGUAACUGACGCUGAGG